RNAcentral lists this long non-coding RNA (1065 nucleotides) under Canis lupus familiaris (dog). RNAcentral's name for it is "lncRNA (ENSCAFG00000051321.1)". Lineage: Eukaryota; Metazoa; Chordata; Mammalia; Carnivora; Canidae. The record is from RNAcentral.
GUUAGGAAGCAAGUAAUACGCCUUUGCGGGGUUUUGAUCCUUUGGGGAGGGAGAAUUAAAAAUAAGCUCCCUGGAGAGGGUUUGAACUUUCGCCCUCGACACGAGUCUGACGAGUUACAGUCGCUACAGUCGCAGAUGGCAGUCUUCCGCCAUCAAUACUUUUUUUUGCUAGCUUUGAAGAAAAGUGAGGAAGAAUAGUGGAAGCAGAGCAGGAAAGCUAAUUUUAGCUUCAGAUUUCCUGGGACGAGAAAGAGCACUUGACAAGAGGGACACCAAAUAGCAUAGUACAGGUACUUUUCAAAUUUAUUUAUAAAAUGGUUCUUGGAUUUCAAACUUCACCUUUUUGCUAAUAUAUUUCCAAUCAUAUCCCACUCUUUUUGACCGCUUUAAGAAGUAAAGUGUAUUUUCUGUUGAAUAAAGUAUUUCCCUUUACUCACUGGGAAUCUUUAACCAGAACAUUAAUUUUGUGACUUUAAUUUUAUUUGCUUCAUUUUCCUCUGGCAGCUUUACUGAUGCUGUAAUGGAAACAUGUUUGCAUUACUUCAUCAUAUAUGCUAAGAAGUCAUUUGUGGGGUAAAUGUAAGCAUAUAGUUGUUACUAUGUGGAAAUCCAUAAAAAAUGUGGUUACUCUCUGAGUGUUAACUAAGACAAAUAAACCAUAAUGGCCAGAAGACAAUCUGCUGUCUUGGCAGCAUUUCAUGUGAAAAAUUAGUUGAUAUUUUUAUGGCAAUGUCACAGAUUUACUCAAAAUAUCCUCAUCCUUUGGGCAAUAGGGGGAAAACCCUAAAUAUUACACCAACUUGAUAAACUUAGUCUGUUGCAAUAAUUUAAUCAGUUCCUUUACAUUUAGGCUAAAGCAUUAAGCUUUUAAUAUUCCAUCUCUCUCAUUCUGCUCCUCUCAAAAUAACAUCUGGAAGGAAAAGAGGGAAGACCAGGGGUAGCUGACAUGAACUUGAGAAUGUCAGUCUUGGUACCUACAAGGUCUCCUUUGAAUUCUUGCUGGACUAUGCUGCAGGGAGGCUAAUUUUGGCUCCUUUCUGAAAUGCAAUGAGUGCUGGACAUUCU